RNAcentral lists this ribosomal RNA (624 nucleotides) under uncultured Lachnospiraceae bacterium. Its description in RNAcentral is "bacterial SSU rRNA". It matches the Rfam family "Bacterial small subunit ribosomal RNA", at positions 74 to 710 of the family's 1533-position model. Lineage: Bacteria; Bacillati; Bacillota; Clostridia; Lachnospirales; Lachnospiraceae. The record is from RNAcentral.
UUUUCGGAUGGAAGUUGAAUUGACUGAGUGGCGGACGGGUGAGUAACGCGUGGGUAACCUGCCUUGUACUGGGGGACAACAGUUAGAAAUGACUGCUAAUACCGCAUAAGCGCACAGUAUCGCAUGAUACAGUGUGAAAAACUCCGGUGGUACAAGAUGGACCCGCGUCUGAUUAGCUAGUUGGUAAGGUAACGGCUUACCAAGGCGACGAUCAGUAGCCGACCUGAGAGGGUGACCGGCCACAUUGGGACUGAGACACGGCCCAAACUCCUACGGGAGGCAGCAGUGGGGAAUAUUGCACAAUGGGCGAAAGCCUGAUGCAGCGACGCCGCGUGAGUGAAGAAGUAUUUCGGUAUGUAAAGCUCUAUCAGCAGGGAAGAAAAUGACGGUACCUGACUAAGAAGCCCCGGCUAACUACGUGCCAGCAGCCGCGGUAAUACGUAGGGGGCAAGCGUUAUCCGGAUUUACUGGGUGUAAAGGGAGCGUAGACGGUAAAGCAAGUCUGAAGUGAAAGCCCGCGGCUCAACUGCGGGACUGCUUUGGAAACUGUUUAACUGGAGUGUCGGAGAGGUAAGUGGAAUUCCUAGUGUAGCGGUGAAAUGCGUAGAUAUUAGGAGGAACACC